RNAcentral lists this long non-coding RNA (3142 nucleotides) under Equus asinus (donkey). RNAcentral describes it as "lncRNA (ENSEASG00005036570.1)". Lineage: Eukaryota; Metazoa; Chordata; Mammalia; Perissodactyla; Equidae. The record is from RNAcentral.
UGGAUGGGCUCACAGUGGAUGGGCUCACAGUUGGAUUGGCUCACCAUGGAUGGGCUCACAGUGGAUGGGCUCACAGUUGGAUGGGCUCACAGUGGAUGGGAUCACAGUGGAUGGGCUCACAGCAGUCCUCUCACCUGGCUGCACAUCCAAUCACCUGGGUCCUCUUAUAUUUCCCAGGACUCCGUGGCACACCUGGCCCAUUAAAUCAGAAAGUUUGGGGUGAUGAGCCAGGCAUAAGUAUGUUUUAGGAUCCCUAAGUGGUUCCAGUGUGACUCAAACUUUGGGAACCAUGGGGCUACAGGACAGGAUAGAUUGUGGGCAGCCAGCCAGGACUCAACCAUGUUCAAAGCGCUUUCUUAUCCUUGCUGUCAUCGCCCGCUGAGGAGUCACACCAUUAUACCCAUUGUACCGAGGAGGAAAGUGAGGCCUACGGUGUUGCCACACCUCCUGAGACAGUCAUUGUUAAGGCUGGGACGAGAGCCCUGUCUCUGGACCCUCAAAGCUGACUCCUCCUACAUAGGCGCAGCUACAGAGGGCCCUUGGGAAUAGUCACAAAGAGACAAGGACCUGGACUUCCAGAGAUUGCAAGGUUCUGGGAGACAUGCCAACCUUUCCUGGGAGGAGGUUCUGACGGUGGCAGGGGUGGCAUAGCAAGAGCAUCCUUGAAGCCGGCAGCGAGGGCUUUGCACGCUGGGUGCAGGCCAGCACACUGAGCCAGCUCACACCUUGGCCCCAAGUGGGCCCUGGUUCCACCCCAGGAACUUGUUCAUCUGGCUUCAUCCAGUGGUGUGUGGGGAUCUGUUCCGGGACAGCCGGGCCCAGACAUCACCUCUUUAUCUAAGUCUUUCCUGGCCCUCCUCUGUUAACAAAAAGGCAGCUUAACAGGGAAUGGAAGGUUAACAGCAGCUUUCAACUUCCUCUAGGUCUGUGUUGGAAACAUGGCCAUUCACAUACAGCCCAAGGCACCAUUGGCAGGAAAAUCAGAGGGGCCCUCAGCAACUCUGGGGCUGGCUUAGCUCCCACCCAUUGCCCUAGUCCUCGAAGACUGUCAGCAGCCACCCGUCCAGCUCAUCCCCUCCCUCGUCUGUCUAUUUCAGAGGCCAGAGGAAGGCAGAGAAGAUGAGGAGACCAGCUAAGUUGCAUAGUGCAGAAUAAUGCACUGCCUUGCAGCCACCCAGACCAGAGUUCAAAUCCCAGCUCUGCUGUGUGCUCUUACUAGGUGAUCUUGGAGAAGCUGCCUGACCCCUCCAGGCCUUGGAACUCUAAUCUAUAAAAUGGUGGUGUUAAUAACCGUCAUCUCCAGUAUCUGUGACGCUGUGGGUUAAGUAACAUCCGCUCUGGCUGUGGGAUCCUAGACAUGUUAUUUUGCCUCCCUCUGCUUCAGUGAACCCAUCUUUAAAAUGGGAAUGAUAACUCUUACUCAUAGAGGUGGAGUAAGGAUUAAAUCCAUUAAAUGAAUCAAUCUACACAAAGUACUUAGAACAACAUCUGGCCUGUCCCAAGAGCUUGGCACACCCCCCACGCCCCACCUCCCUCCUGCGGUCAGGGGCCCCCUAGGCAGGGAUAGUCUCUUGGUGUCUCUUUCUUCUUAAGUGGAAGAUGGCCCCAGGACAGAGGGAGCAGCGAGGGCCUGGAUGCCCUGGAGGAGUGAAGAACCAUAGAGAUUGGUUUCCAAACUCAAAUAGUACUUAGUGAGCACCAGCCCUGUGCCAGGCACCGGGCUGGACACGCUGGCAGCAUUUCCUCUGAUCCAAGUGCAACCCUGAGGGGCACGGUUCCCAGCAUUUCUGGAGGGGAACCCAAGAGUCAGAGAUGUCAGGGACAGCCAACUGCCCUUGGAGAAGCGGAAUAGAAGGAAUUCGAAACCAUGACCUGUGACUCUGUGUCCCCUAUUCUGCCUUCAUCAUGCCACGCUCUUCAUGUCUCAAAUAGAAGUUCCUGCAGAGGAGGUGUCAGGCUCAGCGAGCAAAGCUGGGCCCUGUGGAAUCACUGAAUAGCAGAUUUCAAGUCACUAUAAGCACCCUGUCUAACAGUCCAAGCUUCCCCAAGCUGAGAAGUGCUGCCUUAGGGGGAAUGGGCCCCCUGUCCCCAGUCGUGGCAUCUCAGAAGCUCUUCCUGGCUCCCUGGAUUGGUGUGAGUUCCCUGCUAGGUCAUCCCACCCUAGAGUUCAUCACACUGUGUGGUAACUGAUGGAUCACAGUUACAGUCUGAAAGAGCUUCACUCUCCUAGCGGCAGCAGACCUGGAAUGUCCCAGUGCUGUGGGAAGCCGGCUCAGCGCCUGAGAGUCUCCAUGCUGCACGACCUGGGAAGUGAGCGCCCUUUGAAGGGAAUCACAGCCAAAUCAGUUUUCCCUGUUUGUAAAAUGGGGUGCAGAGCUGAGGAGAGUUGGCUAUCAUCACACUCCCUGCAGAGCAGUGGGCAGCUGACUGGGAAGCCCCGACACAGGCACCCAGACCAUGGCCCAGGCAGGGCAGAGCCCAGGGCAAAGAGUUUCCAAGACUUCUCUCCCCAGUGCUCAGGGACCCUCUGGACAUUAGUGGCUGAUUUGAGAAGGUCAGGCAAAAAACUCAAGGCCUAAAGGAGUGAAAUAGAAGAUCCAGGACCUGGGUGGCUUGAUAAGGAGACAUGAGCACCAAGCUUGUGGUCAGAAGAAGUGGAUUCAAGAGCUAGACAGUUUAGAGAGAUGUUGACAAUAACGCCAGAAACCCAGGCUGAGAACAAUAACCUUGGUGGGCACAGAUGCUCCCUCUUAGCUGUGGGCUUAGGGGCAGUGAAGGCCCCAUUAUCAGGCUGAGGAGACCAACCAAGCUUGCAUGCAGACGCUCUCCGUUCCUGGGCCGGAUCCCGGGAGACCCUGGCAUACAGGGCUUUCUUUCAGGCAGUAACCAACACUGGGGGCUCAGGCCACAGGCACGCCUCACUCAGCUCUCCCCCGCCCUUGCUGCCUCAGGGGCUGGGAGGACAGAAAGCUCCUUGCGGGCAGGCACUUCCCCAGGAAAGGCAGACCGGUGGAGUCUGGAUGCAGAGCUUUCUGCCAACAGAACUUCCCACGGGCAGCCUGAAAUGAGCAGCAAUUACACGUGGCCUCUAGGGCCACAUUUGAUAAGAAGAGCUGCAAUUUACUGUGUCCCUACUAUGUAC